GACGGGUGAGUAAUGCCUAGGAAAUUGCCCUGAUGUGGGGGAUAACCAUUGGAAACGAUGGCUAAUACCGCAUGAUGCCUACGGGCCAAAGAGGGGGACCUUCGGGCCUCUCGCGUCAGGAUAUGCCUAGGUGGGAUUAGCUAGUUGGUGAGGUAAGGGCUCACCAAGGCGACGAUCCCUAGCUGGUCUGAGAGGAUGAUCAGCCACACUGGAACUGAGACACGGUCCAGACUCCUACGGGAGGCAGCAGUGGGGAAUAUUGCACAAUGGGCGCAAGCCUGAUGCAGCCAUGCCGCGUGUGUGAAGAAGGCCUUCGGGUUGUAAAGCACUUUCAGUCGUGAGGAAGGUUUAGUAGUUAAUAGCGGAUUUAUUUGACGUUAGCGACAGAAGAAGCACCGGCUAACUCCGUGCCAGCAGCCGCGGUAAUACGGAGGGUGCGAGCGUUAAUCGGAAUUACUGGGCGUAAAGCGCAUGCAGGUGGUUUGUUAAGUCAGAUGUGAAAGCCCGGGGCUCAACCUCGGAAUAGCAUUUGAAACUGGCAGACUAGAGUACUGUAGAGGGGGGUAGAAUUUCAGGUGUAGCGGUGAAAUGCGUAGAGAUCUGAAGGAAUAC
This 612-nucleotide ribosomal RNA is filed under the name Vibrio sp. D-W-80. RNAcentral's name for it is "bacterial SSU rRNA". It matches the Rfam family "Bacterial small subunit ribosomal RNA", at positions 100 to 709 of the family's 1533-position model. Lineage: Bacteria; Pseudomonadati; Pseudomonadota; Gammaproteobacteria; Vibrionales; Vibrionaceae. The record is from RNAcentral.